Molecule: ribosomal RNA, 449 nt
Filed under: uncultured bacterium
Lineage: Bacteria
Description: bacterial SSU rRNA
Rfam family: Bacterial small subunit ribosomal RNA
Source: RNAcentral
GAUGAACGCUGGCGGCGUGCUUAACACAUGCAAGUCGAACGGGAAACCUUUUAUUGAAGCUUCGGCAGAUUUAGAUUGUUUCUAGUGGCGGACGGGUGAGUAACGCGUGGGUAACCUGCCUUAUACAGGGGGAUAACAGUCAGAAAUGACUGCUAAUACCGCAUAAGCGCACAGAGCUGCAUGGCUCGGUGCGAAAAACUCCGGUGGUAUAAGAUGGACCCGCGUUGGAUUAGCUAGUUGGUGAGGUAACGGCCCACCAAGGCGACGAUCCAUAGCCGGCCUGAGAGGGUGAACGGCCACAUUGGGACUGAGACACGGCCCAGACUCCUACGGGAGGCAGCAGUGGGGAAUAUUGCACAAUGGGGGAAACCCUGAUGCAGCGACGCCGCGUGAAGGAAGAAGUAUCUCGGUAUGUAAACUUCUAUCAGCAGGGAAGAAAAUGACGGUAC